This 104-nucleotide ribosomal RNA is filed under the name uncultured bacterium. RNAcentral describes it as "partial 16S ribosomal RNA". It matches the Rfam family "Bacterial small subunit ribosomal RNA", at positions 1379 to 1482 of the family's 1533-position model. The record is from RNAcentral.
CCUUGUACACACCGCCCGUCACACCAUGGGAGUGGGUUGCACCAGAAGUAGCUAGUCUAACCUUCGGGAGGACGGUUACCACGGUGUGAUUCACGACUGGGGUG